RNAcentral lists this ribosomal RNA (122 nucleotides) under Thermoplasmata archaeon. RNAcentral also lists the same sequence under 3 other names. The record is from RNAcentral. Lineage: Archaea; Methanobacteriati; Thermoplasmatota; Thermoplasmata.
GGUGACGGCCAUAACAGUGGGGUAACACCCGGUCUCAUUCCGAACCCGACGGUAAAGCUCACUGUGCCCUUCACGCGUACUGUCUUCCGCGAGGGGAUGGGAAAUGGGGGUCGCUGUCAUCA